RNAcentral lists this ribosomal RNA (318 nucleotides) under Prorocentrum minimum. RNAcentral describes it as "partial Bacterial large subunit ribosomal RNA". It matches the Rfam family "Bacterial large subunit ribosomal RNA", at positions 1909 to 2226 of the family's 2925-position model. The record is from RNAcentral. Lineage: Eukaryota; Dinophyceae; Prorocentrales; Prorocentraceae.
UGAUCGAAGCCCCGGUAAACGGCGGCCGUAACGAUAACGGUCCUAAGGUAGCGAAAUUCCUUGUCGGGUAAGUUCCGACCUGCACGAAUGGCGUAAUGAUGGCCAGGCUGUCUCCACCCGAGACUCAGUGAAAUUGAAAUCGCUGUGAAGAUGCAGUGUAUCCGCGGCUAGACGGAAAGACCCCGUGAACCUUUACUAUAGCUUGACACUGAACAUUGAGCCUUGAUGUGUAGGAUAGGUGGGAGGCUUUGAAGCGUGGACGCCAGUCUGCAUGGAGCCAACCUUGAAAUACCACCCUUUAAUGUUUGAUGUUCUAAC